CACGUAGUUAGCCGGUGCUUCUUCUGCAGGUACCGUCACUUUCGCUUCUUCCCUACUGAAAGAGGUUUACAACCCGAAGGCCGUCAUCCCUCACGCGGCGUCGCUGCAUCAGGCUUGCGCCCAUUGUGCAAUAUUCCCCACUGCUGCCUCCCGUAGGAGUCUGGGCCGUGUCUCAGUCCCAGUGUGGCCGGUCACCCUCUCAGGCCGGCUACCCGUCGUCGCCUUGGUGAGCCAUUACCUCACCAACAAGCUGAUAGGCCGCGAGUCCAUCCAAAACCGAUAAAUCUUUCCAACACCCACCAUGCGGUAGGCGCUCCUAUCCGGUAUUAGACCCAGUUUCCCAGGCUUAUCCCAGAGUUAAGGGCAGGUUACUCACGUGUUACUCACCCGUUCGCCACUAAUCCACCCAGCAAGCUGGGCUUCAUCGUUCGACUUGCAUGUGUUAAGCACGCCGCCAGCGUUCAUCCUGAGCCAGGAUCAAACUCU
This 486-nucleotide ribosomal RNA is filed under the name uncultured Micrococcus sp. Its description in RNAcentral is "partial 16S ribosomal RNA". Lineage: Bacteria; Bacillati; Actinomycetota; Actinomycetes; Micrococcales; Micrococcaceae. The record is from RNAcentral.